Molecule: long non-coding RNA, 870 nt
Organism: Aedes albopictus (Asian tiger mosquito)
Lineage: Eukaryota; Metazoa; Arthropoda; Insecta; Diptera; Culicidae
Exons: 2
Source: RefSeq, a predicted model, not a curated record
AAGAAAUGUUGCUCACCAACACUGAAAAAAGAGCAAUAUAAUACUCAUCGCAACAUACCAUUAUUCCAUACUUCAUCAACAUGGUCGUGUUGCAUACGGCAUGUGCACACGAUACAAGAGUUGAUACAAUCAUCGCAUUGUCGCAUACACGCUGCGACAUCGGGUUUGUUUUGCUUAUGGAUGUUGUUGAUACAUGUUUGUGCUGCAGCUGGCUUGUCAUGACUGAACUGAGACAAAAUAAACACUUUGUUUUGUUGCAAGCCUGUAAUCAUACGAUAUAGGUUUGUCAUAAACGGAGAGCGAAAUGAUAAACGGUGUUUCAAAGUGAUUUUCGGUGCUUAUUACUGGCACAGCGCAAACAGUCCUUUACUGGCGGAACACAAUGGUGAAGUGAACGUGUUGGGCCGAGGCUUCAACUUCGAGUGCGCUUUACGCUCGUCAGGCCCUUCGGCAUCAGAUAAUAUGGAUAAUAUGUGCUCCAAGCUUCCUUGUGAUAAGGGUCAUUUUGCAGCAUGCCGAGCCAACCUUUUGAUUAUUGGAUUUGUCGUAAGCGAGCUCACCAGUUCCUUCGCCAUCACACAUCUUCCAGCUUCCGCCACCGCACAUUGUUCAGCUUAACAGAACAUUAGAUGCUCCCAAGCAAGCUGCGACUUACAGUUCGGGAGCUUAUCAUCUAUGUCCGCAGUAGUUUUUUGUCGAGCGAUAGUUCAUAUGCUGUUGUCAACUACAGAGCAGCUGUAGCUCCAUAUGAUGAUAUUAUGAAUAAAUCACAUCGAAUACAAAAAUAAGUAAGUUUUGAAGUAAAAGAAAUUAAUAUUAAUAAAACUUAUAUAACAUACUGUUACUCAUAUCAGUAGCCCAUACCAGAAA